UUGGACAUUACCAGUCCUAAUAGUGUUUUUAUGUGCUGCCACUCUAGCUUUUAUUUUCCACUAAAUCUCUGACUUCAGCAAUUUUUAGAAUUAUGCCUAGGAGCACCAAAUUUACAACCAGGUGCCAGUCAGGUCUACACUAUGGCCUGAUCAGCAUGAGCCAGUCAGGUCUAUAAUAUGGCGUGAUCAGCAUUAGCCAGUCAGGUCUAUACUAUGGCCUGAUCAGCAUUAGCCAGUCAGGUCUAUAUUAUGGCCUGAUCAGCAUUAGCCAGUCAGGUCUAUACUAUGGCCUGAUCACCAUG
This is a long non-coding RNA of Ictalurus punctatus (channel catfish), 302 nucleotides long. The record is from Ensembl. Lineage: Eukaryota; Metazoa; Chordata; Actinopteri; Siluriformes; Ictaluridae.